RNAcentral lists this ribosomal RNA (474 nucleotides) under uncultured Thauera sp. Its description in RNAcentral is "bacterial SSU rRNA". It matches the Rfam family "Bacterial small subunit ribosomal RNA", at positions 908 to 1382 of the family's 1533-position model. Lineage: Bacteria; Pseudomonadati; Pseudomonadota; Betaproteobacteria; Rhodocyclales; Zoogloeaceae. The record is from RNAcentral.
AAAUUGACGGGGACCCGCACAAGCGGUGGAUGAUGUGGAUUAAUUCGAUGCAACGCGAAAACCUUACCUACCCUUGACAUGUCUGGAACCUUGGUGAGAGCCGAGGGUGCCUUCGGGAGCCAGAACACAGGUGCUGCAUGGCUGUCGUCAGCUCGUGUCGUGAGAUGUUGGGUUAAGUCCCGCAACGAGCGCAACCCUUAUCGUUAGUUGCCAGCGGGUAAUGCCGGGGACUCUAGCGAAACUGCCGGUGUAAACCGAGAGGAAGGUGGGAUGACGUCAAAUCAGCACGGCCCUUAUGUCCAGGGCUACACACGUGUUACAAUGGCCGGUACAGAGGGCAGCUACCUGGAGACAGGAUGCGAAUCUCGAAAGCCGGUCUCAGUUCGGAUCGGAGUCUGCAACUCGACUCCGUGAAGCUGGAUUCGCUAGUAAUCGCGCAUCAGCCAUGGCGCGGUGAAUACGUUCCCGGGCCUU